RNAcentral lists this long non-coding RNA (243 nucleotides) under Mytilus galloprovincialis (Mediterranean mussel). The record is from RNAcentral. Lineage: Eukaryota; Metazoa; Mollusca; Bivalvia; Mytilida; Mytilidae.
GUUAAUUAUUGCAGGCGUUUGUUGUAAUUAUGAACACAGUUCGAUUCAUAUGAUCUGAUUUAUACUUUGCAUGAAAAUACGUACAUGAUAGAGACGAUAUAAUAUAAAGUUACUUCCAUUUAUUGCUUAACCACUAUCGAAAUAUCGAAAGAACUGAUAGCUGAACUGGCUACAUACGUAUUUGGAAAAUAAUGUCUAAAAGAUACUGCACAAGAGGACUAAUAUUUUUGGUAAUUUAUAUAG